This 406-nucleotide ribosomal RNA is filed under the name uncultured bacterium. RNAcentral's name for it is "partial 16S ribosomal RNA". It matches the Rfam family "Bacterial small subunit ribosomal RNA", at positions 30 to 526 of the family's 1533-position model. The record is from RNAcentral.
AUUGAACGCUGGCGGGAUGCCUAACACAUGCAAGUCGAACGAGUGGCGGACGGGUGAUUAAUGUAUGGGACCCUGCCCGAUGGAGGGGGAUAACUACUGGAAACGGUAGCUAAUACCGCACUACAUCGGAUGUGCCCAGAUGGGAUGAGCUAGUAGGUGGGGUAAAGCCUCACCUGGGCGACGAUCCCUAGCUGGUCUGAGAGGAUGCCCAGCCACACUGGAACGGAGACACGGUCCAGACUCCUACGGGAGGCAGCAGUGGGGGAUAUUGGACAAUGGGCGAAAGCCUGAUGCAGCCAUGCCGCGUGUAUGAAGAAGGCCUUCGGGUUGUAAAGUACUUUCAGCAGGAAAGCGUUACCCGCAGAAGAAGCACCGGCUAACUCCGUGCCAGCAGCCGCGGUAAUUC